GCGGCCGCGCCCGGGGCUACGAGGCGAAGGCGGCGACCCAUCGCGGGCCCCCCGGGCUCUUCCCUGACGCCUGGACCUGCGGCUGCGAAUCAAAGCUGCUUGGAACCAGGUCUGCUCAGCUCUGAUGGCAAAGGACGGAGCCGAAGCACAGUCAGGACUUUUCAUGAGAGGACUAGGCAGGGCUCACACACUGCUGCUGUGUGCUUUCUUGCCCCUGUUUCCCAGACACCGAUCCCAUCGGGGUGAAGGGAAAGGAAGUGUCCACCCAGAACUCCUCCUAACUUUACUCCUUUUGGCAGCUUCUCUUGUUUUAUCUUCUCUCUGUGGAAUAACCUUUAGAACAGGCUAACAUCAACCCCGGAACUCCCUGCCUAAAAGGAGUUUGGAUAAGUCAGUUGAAAUGCAUUUGAGUCUCAAGAAACAGAAGGCUCAGACAGUUGCCACCACUGUGAAGACUUGCAUCUCACAUG
Molecule: long non-coding RNA, 470 nt
Filed under: Mus spretus (western wild mouse)
Lineage: Eukaryota; Metazoa; Chordata; Mammalia; Rodentia; Muridae
Description: predicted gene, 40190 (ENSMSPG00010032349.1)
Source: RNAcentral